GGAUUAAAGGUGUGAGCCACCACACCCAGCCUCUUUCAACACUUUUUAUUUCUGUAGCGUUAACAUUCCUGUGAACAUUCUGUCUUUGUUUUUCACCCCUGUCUGCACCUCUGCUGUUGGUGAGGGGCUCCUGGUCAUCACAGUCACAUGUGGACUCCCCUGCUCUGUACCUCCCAGCCUUUCUGCCAACAGCGUUGGAAUCACAGUGUUGUCCUGGAGAUUAAGUGAGCCCAGCCACGACCAGACCUUCAUGCUUCAGAAGUGUUACUGUUCGGAGAAUAACCUGCCACAGGCUACCUUCCACACCCACAGGCCCUGAGCAGUCUCAUGGAGCCCCUACAGGGCACUCCCUGCCAGCUCCUGACCUGCUCCCCGAGUGCUUCUCUGGACUCCGAGAGCCAGACCCAGAGAGAGGGAGGGGUCAACCACUGACCCAGCUAAGGCUGCACUCUUCAAGUCCUCAGAUCCCGUCCUAAGAUCUUCUGCUUCCCAGGGAGACAGAGAAAGGUGAUCCAGUCCCCUCAGGAAGACUCAAUACCUACAGGAGUGUGACCACAGCAAACCAAUCAUGAAUGCUCAGAUAGUGCAUGCUGUAUGGCACCAUAAGAUCUGAGCCUCAAGACUGCCCAGCUGUGUGUCCUUAGACAGUUCUUACCCUCUGUGUUCCCCAUCUGUAAAAUGGGGAUGUAUACAGUGCUGUCAUCAAUGGGUUACUGACAAGAUUCAAUAUAUCAAUAUAUACAAGUUCUAAGUGCCUUACGUAUGCUAAUUUAAUUUUCACAACAACUCUGUGAAGUAGGUAUUAUUACCUAUAUUCCAGAUGAGGGAGCGGAGACCAAAGAUUACCCAACUGCCCAGUCCCCUAAGAAACCCAGAGCCCAACAGAGAUUCAAGAAAGUACCUUGGAGCAGGUGCCAUUUUCCAAGAACUCUCUGUCCAAGUUAGGGAACGAUAGCUCCUUUGAUUUUCUCCUUUCCCGAGGUCUUACGAAACUGAGUUAGUCCAUGUGUACAAGAGGGUCCAGCUCUCUCUCUUUUAAAACAAAAAUUGCCUCCUCCUGCCAAGUUGGCAGAGGCCUGCAUGGGUGGCAUCCUAACAGCCUCCUGCUUGGUCUUGGCACUCUGUGGCUUGUGAACAACCACCAGAGAUGAAUAUAUCUUCACGAGGAGAACAAGCAGCUGGGCUUGAACCAGCAGGUGCCCAGGGCAGAGCAUUUCAAAGAUGUCAAAGAUCCCAGCCUCAGAACUACCCAGCUGUGUGUCCUGGGACAAUUUGCUUUCCCUCUCUGUUUCCCCUUCUGUAGAACAGGUGUAUGUGCCUUCAUCAAAGGGCUGUUGAGAAGAUUCAAUAUAUCAAUAUAUAUAUUUAAAGCAUUUAGAAGAGUGCUUGCACAAAAUAAGCCCCAUAAAAUUUUCGCUGUUAUCAUUUUAGAUGCAAGUGUCAGUCAGGACUUCUGACAUAGACACCUCCCUUUCCACAGGACCCAGAAAUGAGAACAGUAGGAGGCUGCUUGUGCCUUCUAGACCUUUUCCCAGGGACCACGGGUUAUCCCUUAAGAGCCGCUGGUAACAGGUUUCUCCAGGUUCAUCCCAAGUCCCUUCCAGCUCAACAGCGCCCCCUGCCACGCAGAUUUUACACAUCCAUGUAAAGCUUCCAGGCAUGAAAGGAAAUUGUUGGUGCUAAAGGGCAAGCCGGAGAGAGAACUGCAGUUGAUGGCCAAUUCAAAAGGUGAAUUUCUCUAAUAAAGAAUGUGUUCCCACAAUGGACACAAACUCUACAAAAAGUACCGAAAGACUUGAUCUAAGGACACGACGGGCACUCCCUGGGAGAGAUGGCUCAGCUGGGUAACACACAUGACAGAAGAGUAAAGAAAAUUAAACAACCAGACACUAUUUGCUGCCUGCAAAUUUAGAGAAAAAACAAACCUGCCAAAACCCAGUCCUGGGGAGGUGAGUGCGUAAAGAGCUUUCACUUACAGGUGGAAACUCUAUAAACUGAAAUACUCCUUCUUGAAGUUGUUUAGCAAUCUGAUGCAAUUUAGGAUUAUUUAUGAUUACAUAUAAUUUUUGAAUAAAUACUAUAUUCUCGUGGUUCAAAAUGCAAGUAUAAAAACGAUAUGCACUGAAAAUUCUCCUUCCCACCCUUCUCUUCCAGCAACCCGGGUACCUCCUCACAGACAGCCCAGGUUAGUGGUUUCUGGUGCAAACUUUCAGGAACAUUUUUAUGAACAUACACAAAUAUGUACACAUUCAUUUCACCCUUUCUUAUGCAAAUUAUAACAUAUUAUAGCUUGGCACAUUGAUUACUUAAUAUACAUCUUGAAGAUUUUCUCGUACCAUUUUAUAAAGAGGCCCCUCAUCCUUUUUUAUGGCUGAAAGUAGUACAUUGCAUGCUCUUAUGGGUUGAACUGUGUUCCCCCAAAAUUUAUAUGUUGAAGUCCUAACCCCAGAUACUUCCUAAUGUGACCUUAUUUGGAAACAGAGUCAUCGCAGAUGUAUUUCGUUAAGUCGAGGUCAUGCUGGCGUGGGCCCUAAUCCAAUAUAACUGGUCUCCUUAAAAAAGGGGGAAAUUUGUACAUAUGCAUGCACGCAGUGAGAACGUGGUGUGAAGAUAAAGGCAGAGAUUGGGUGAUGUGUCCACAAGCCAAGGAACGCCAAGGAUUUCCAUCAAACCACCAGCAGCUAAGCACAAAACGUGGAACAGAAUCUCCCUCACAGCCUCAGAAAGAACCAACCUUGCUGACACCUUGAUCUCAGACAUCCAGCCUCCAAAACUGUGAGACAAUAAUGUUCUCCUAUUUAAGCCACAUUGUGUGGGGUACUUUGUUACAGCAGCCCUGGCAAACUAACACCUGUGAAUAUACAAUAACUUAUGUAAUCAUUUCUUUAGUUUGGACCUUUCGGUUUUCUCCAUCUUUUACUUUAGAAACGCUAUUGUGAAUAACCUUUUCACACACCAUUUCAUGAGUGUGUGACUAUACCAGCAGGGCAGAUUUCUAGAGGAGAACUGCCGCGCCAAAGAGUACGUGCACGUCCAUCCAUACUGCAUGCUGCCUUCCCUGGAGGUGGGGUCCGUCAACACUCCACCGGCAGGGCGGAAGAAUGCUUCCCCGCCAUGCCAUCACCACCAUCGCGUGCAUCAAACUUAGGAUCUUCGCAAUUCUAAUAAGAGAAAGAUUGUGUUUCCGUGUAGUUUGGACUUGCUUUUUUUUUUUUUUGAAUCAUUUGUAUAAGCUUUUCUGUGAGCCCAUUUUUCCACUGGGUUGUUCAUCUUUUCAAUUUUGGAGAAGCUCUGUGUAUCAGGGAAAUUUGCCCUUUGUGAUGUAACAUGCAAAUAUUUUUUCCAGUUAGUCAUUUGAUUUUUUUUACUUUUCUUGUGGUGGUUUUGCCACACGAAAGUAUUUUAUUUUUAUGUAUUUGAAUUGAUCUAUCUUUACUUUUACAGUUUUUGGAUUUUGCGUUAUAGUAAAAAGGAAAGAAAGAAAACAAAAACCCUCCCUCAGUCCAAUAUGAGCAAAGAAAUCUCCUGCUGUUGUUGUUUUUUUUCUUUGUAAAAUUUUACGGAAGUGGGAGCAGCCGCCAUGACGGUUAGUGUGUGCAUUUCACAUUUAAGUCUUGGAUACACCUGGCAUUGGUCCUGGUGUAAGGGCUGCGGUUUGAAUCCAACUUCAUUUUUUCCCCAAUGCUUCCAGCUGUCCCUGCUCUGUCUUUGCCACUAGUUUGAAAUAAUAGCUUCACCAGAUGCCCAAUACCCAUGACUGUUUAGGUCUAUUUCUAGACUUUAUACGUACGUCUCAGAAUUAUACCAGCUUAAUUAUUAAUGUGCUUUAAUAGUGCCUUGCAUCAUUCAUAUUUUUAUAGGCAUUUUCUGGCUAGAAACAAGCAAGAGCCUGUUAAUUUGUCCUUGUGAACUUUAGAAUCAAUUGUGCGUUGCAAAAGAUUCUAUCGCUUUUAUUGGGAUCGUGACAAUUAUAAUUUACAGGAAAUGACUAUUCUGAUGUCAAGUGUAUCCAUUCAUGUGAAUGGAACAUCCAAGAAUCUUUCCAUAAGUUUAGUUCAUCCUCCACGUCCCCGGGAGCACUGUAAAUUUUCUUCAUAGGGGUCUUUCCAUAAGUUUAGUUCAUCCUCUGCGUCCCCGGGAGCACUGUAAAUUUUCUUCAUAAGGGUCUUGCACAUGAGUCGUGAAUUCCUGGGCAUUUGGUCUUGUUUGUUUCUGUUGUAAAUGUAGUCUUUCCUUCCAUUAUUCCAACUGUGGUUUCCAUAGAAGGAAACUUGAUUUCUGUAUGUUAAUUUUGAAACUACACACCUUACAGCAUUCUCAUUUAUUCUAGUUUUUUUAAUUUUUGUGAGUUUUCCAAAAAUGAAAUCUUAACUGCAAAUAAGACAAUUACAUCUUUGCAUUCCAAUGUUUAUAUUCUGAUUUCUUUUUUCUUUGUUUAAUCCAGCUGCAAUGGGAAAUAAUAGUAGUGAUGGGUAACGACCUUGUCUAGUUCUUUACUCUGAUUGCUUCCAGUGUUUACCUACUAAGCUUAUUAGUCUUUCUAAUUCCCUAUUGUUCUUAUUUUAAGACUCUUAAAAAUGUUCUAUUGAACCAGU
Molecule: non-coding RNA, 4595 nt
Organism: Macaca mulatta (Rhesus monkey)
Lineage: Eukaryota; Metazoa; Chordata; Mammalia; Primates; Cercopithecidae
Source: RefSeq, a predicted model, not a curated record